AGUGUCAGAAAAAAGCAGCACUCCUCGUCGGCCCUCCUAUCACAUCUGAUGAUGACGACGCUGCGGAAGCAGGUCCAUCAAAAGAAGUAUGGAGCAGCAGAAGUGGCACUUCUGAAAGACAUCACCACAAAAAACCUGUGGCCGAAAAGAAAGCAAGGUCGUAUGUCCCGGCCCAAUCACAGCAGGCUACCCCGCCACGAAGAUUAUCGUCCGUAUGUUCUGUCCCCCCACUCCAAAUUUUGGACACACCUCCAAGGCGUCAUCCACACUCCCCUCAUCUUGAUUCUUCGAGUCCUGGGAACAGCAUCCCUCCGCAACAACAGCAACACAGUGACAUGGAGGAGACAAACAUCUUAGAAAUGCAGCCAUUAAUGCAAGGAAUGAGCCCCCCAGCACCUGUGAGUACACCACCACAGCAAAGCACACCACCACCACAACACAGCCCAACAACACCAGGAACACAAGGCCCUGAUCAGGUGUUUUGGACCAUUUGGGCUAGACAGCAGGCCACUAAUGAAGAUUGCCUACGUAAGCAGACACAAAUGUUUGCAAGCCUACCAUCUCACCUCAGAAGAAUAUCAAGAAAUCUGAGUAGACAAAAUGAGCAAACAACCAGAAUAGGCAAUACCAUGGAACUCAUGCGUACAGACAUUACACAGGUCAUGGGCAACUUACAGCGCAUAAUGGAAGAACAGCACAGACAGCAGCAAAGUUACAUGAGCAUUUUUUAAAACAAUCAAAAGAUUAAUGAAAGUUUAUUCCGAAUAGUAGACAAUCAAAAUGCUGCUACACGUGCACUCAAUGCCACCCUCACUAACCUGAAUGAAACACUCAGAUGCAUGCACCAACUGCAAACAAGCAGUAGUUCUGGUACGACUACUCCAAAUGUCACGCCAGUCUCAUCACCACCAAGACACUCCACCAGAGCACGACAACAUGACAGUGCUAAAGGCAAAGGGCAGGACAAGCAGCCACCAAAAAAAAUGUGGAAAAAAACAAGUUAGACAUUUGUGAUAAGUAACUCAAAAAAGUUAGCAAGUGUUUUUGUUGCUAAAAUAAUAUAACACUUAGGUCCUUGACCCUUUUUUCAACAUCAUUAAUUAUAAGUGGCCCAAAAAUUAUUAUAAAUUUAGGACGCACAUUUAUUCAAAACCAUUUUUAUUUGGUAUUGGAGGCGGGAAAUGUUGAUGGAGCCACACAUACAUGUUAGCAGGAAGUAAACUGACCCCUUGAUUUUUUUCUAAUCAUUACUCUUUCUAGAUUCCAAUCAUUCUCUUUGCCUGCAGAUACAAUAAUUGCCAGCCAGGCAGAAUGUCUUUAAGCAGGAAGUAAACUGACCCCUUGAUUUUUUUCUAAUCAUUACUCUUUCUAGAUUCCAAUCAUUCUCUUUGCCUGCAGAUACAUUAAUUGCCAGCCAGGCAGAAUGUCAUUAGCAGGAAGUAAACUGACCCCUUGAUUUUUUUCUAAUCAUUACACUUUCUAGAUUCCAAUCAUUCUCUUUGCCUGCAGAUACAAUAAUUACCAGCGAGGCAGAAUGUCUUUAGCAGGAAGUAAACUGACCCCUUGAUUUUUUUCUAAUCAUUACUCUUUCUAGAUUCCAAUCAUUCUCUUUGCCUGCAGACAAUCCAAAAUACAAUGUUAGUGAUACAUAUCUUAGCUAUAUUAUCUAAACAACAUUACAAGAAGAACACAAUUGAGUUGCGUAAAAAGCUUGUAAUAUGUUGCCUUUGUUUUGUUUGAAAAACAUUGUCCAAAUGGAUGUCAGUAUUGUUGGGACAUGUUUGUGUGUGUUUAAAAUUAUUAAGAAUGUUUUGACACGUGAUGCAGAAACAAACAAAUAUGUAAUUUUACAACAAAAAGCACAAACUGUGUAUAAUAAUGUAUAUGUGUGGCAAACUGUAUUUACUUACACAUCAUCAAG
Pseudophryne corroboree (corroboree frog) is the source of this 1921-nucleotide long non-coding RNA. RefSeq lists it as uncharacterized. NCBI's taxonomy places the organism in Eukaryota, Metazoa, Chordata, Amphibia, Anura, Myobatrachidae. The transcript is spliced from 3 exons. The record is from RefSeq and is a predicted model, not a curated record.